CCUACGGGGGGCAGCAGUGGGGAAUAUUGGACAAUGGGGGGAACCCUGAUCCAGCGACGCCGCGUGAGUGAAGAAGUAUUUCGGUAUGUAAAGCUCUAUCAGCAGGGAAGAAAGCAAUGACGGUACCUGACUAAGAAGCCCCGGCUAACUACGUGCCAGCAUCCGCGGUAAUACGGAGGGGGCAAGCGUUAUCCGGAUUUACUGGGUGUAAAGGGAGCGUAGACGGCGAUGUAAGUCUGAAGUGAAAGGCGGGGGACCAACCCCUGGACUGCUUUGGAAACUGUAUGGCUGGAGUGCAGGAGAGGUAAGUGGAAUUCCUAGUGUAGCGGUGAAAUGCGUAGAUAUCAGGAGGAACACCAGUGGCGAAGGCGGCUUACUGGACUGUAACUGACGUUGAGGCUCGAAAGCGUGGGGAGCAAACAGGAUUAGAUACCCUUGUAGUC
This 443-nucleotide ribosomal RNA is filed under the name uncultured bacterium. Its description in RNAcentral is "partial 16S ribosomal RNA". It matches the Rfam family "Bacterial small subunit ribosomal RNA", at positions 338 to 795 of the family's 1533-position model. The record is from RNAcentral.